RNAcentral lists this unclassified non-coding RNA (337 nucleotides) under soil metagenome. Its description in RNAcentral is "partial contains 5.8S ribosomal RNA, internal transcribed spacer 2, and large subunit ribosomal RNA". The stretch from base 1 to 120 matches the Rfam family "5.8S ribosomal RNA", at positions 35 to 154 of the family's 154-position model. The record is from RNAcentral.
GAUGAAGAACGUAGCAAAAUGCGAUAAGUAAUGUGAAUUGCAGAAUUCAGUGAAUCAUCGAAUCUUUGAACGCACAUUGCGCCCCUUGGUAUUCCAUGGGGCAUGCCUGUUCGAGCGUCAUUUGUACCUUCAAGCUCUGCUUGGUGUUGGGUGUUUGUCUCGCCUCUGCGCGUAGACUCGCCUCAAAACAAUUGGCAGCCGGCGUAUUGAUUUCGGAGCGCAGUACAUCUCGCGCCUUGCACUCAUAACGACGACGUCCAAAAGUACAUUUUUACACUCUUGACCUCGGAUCAGGUAGGGAUACCCGCUGAACUUAAGCAUAUCAAUAAGCGGAGGA